CCUACGGGAGGCUGCAGUGGGGAAUAUUGCACAAUGGGCGCAAGCCUGAUACAGCCAUGCCGCGUGUGUGAAGAAGGCCUUCGGGUUGUAAAGCACUUUCAGCGGGGAGGAAGGCGUUAAGGUUAAUAACCUUGUCGAUUGACGUUACCCGCAGAAGAAGCACCGGCUAACUCCGUGCCAGCAGCCGCGGUAAUACGGAGGGUGCAAGCGUUAAUCGGAAUUACUGGGCGUAAAGCGCACGCAGGCGGUCUGUCAAGUCGGAUGUGAAAUCCCCGGGCUCAACCUGGGAACUGCAUUCGAAACUGGCAGGCUAGAGUCUUGUAGAGGGGGGUAGAAUUCCAGGUGUAGCGGUGAAAUGCGUAGAUAUCUGGAGGAAUACCGGUGGCGAAGGCGGCCCCCUGGACAAAGACUGACGCUCAGGUGCGAAAGCGUGGGGAGCAAACAGGAUUAGAUACCCCAGUAGUC
This 465-nucleotide ribosomal RNA is filed under the name uncultured Klebsiella sp. RNAcentral's name for it is "bacterial SSU rRNA". It matches the Rfam family "Bacterial small subunit ribosomal RNA", at positions 338 to 795 of the family's 1533-position model. Lineage: Bacteria; Pseudomonadati; Pseudomonadota; Gammaproteobacteria; Enterobacterales; Enterobacteriaceae. The record is from RNAcentral.